This 1134-nucleotide ribosomal RNA is filed under the name Paranucleospora theridion. RNAcentral describes it as "SSU rRNA". It matches the Rfam family "Microsporidia small subunit ribosomal RNA", at positions 83 to 1232 of the family's 1311-position model. The record is from RNAcentral. Lineage: Eukaryota; Fungi; Microsporidia; Enterocytozoonidae.
ACGGCUCAGUAAUGUUGCGAUGAUCUGCUCUAGUUGUGUAAGAUAACCGCGGAAACCUGUGGCUAAGAGACUAGAAUGAGACGCAACCCUAUCAGUUUGUUGGUAGUGUAACGGACUACCAAGACUAUGACGGGUGACGGGAAAUCAGUGUUUGAUUCCGGAGAGGGAGCCUGAGAGAUGGCUCCCACGUCCAAGGAUGGCAGCAGGCGCGAAAAUUGUCCACUCUUUGUUGAGGAGACAGUUAUGAGGCGUGAUUGUAAGAGCGAAGAGUAAACAUCUUUGUGUAAUGCAACUAGAGGGCAAGUUUUGGUGCCAGCAGCCGCGGUAACUCCAACUCUAGAAGUGCCUAUUGUGGAUGCUGCAGUUAAAAAGUCCGUAGUCGUUGAUGCAAUUAAAAGGUGUAGAUCAAGUGCACCAAGUUUGUUAGUUGUGGCGGAGCGGACAGGGAGCAUGGUAUAGGUUGGCGAAGAAUGAAAUCUCAAGACCCAACCUGGACCAACUGAGGCGAAAGCGGUGCUCUUGUACGCGUCUGUGGAUCAAGGACGAAGGCUAGAGGAUCGAAAGUGAUUAGACACCGCUGUAGUUCUAGCAGUAAACUAUGCCGACAUUCUCUGUUGUUGAGACGGGGAGGGGAGAAAUCUUAGUUUUCGGGCUCUGGGGAUAGUACGCUUGCAAGAGUGAAACUUAAAGCGAAAUUGACGGAAGAUCACCACAAGGAGUGGAUUGUACUGCUUAAUUUGACUCAACACGGGAAAACUUACCAGGGCCAAGUCUCUCGUAGAUUGGCGACAUGAGAGGGGCAAGAGUGGUGCAUGGCCGUUGGAAAUUGAUGGGAUGACCUUUAGCUUAAGUGCUGUAACCAGUGAGAUCUUCUAGACAGGUGUCUUACUGACACAGGAAGGAGAAGGCUAUAACAGGUCCGUGAUGCCCUCAGAUGCCCUGGGCCGCAAGUGCAAUACAAUAUCCGUUUGAGCGACAUAAAUAUGCUUACGGAUGAGUAGGAUUAGCUCUUGUAAAUGAGCUAUGAAUGAGGAAUUCCUAGUAACUGUGUCUCAUCAAGGCACAGUGAAUGCGUCCCUGUUCUUUGUACACACCGCCCGUCACUAUUGCGGAUGGCAAUCAAGAUGAAGAGCC